UGUGGGAGGGGACAAAGCUGUACUUAUGACCUUCAUGACCGCUUCUGUCCUUUUCUCCCCAGC
Molecule: microRNA precursor, 63 nt
Filed under: Monodelphis domestica (gray short-tailed opossum)
Lineage: Eukaryota; Metazoa; Chordata; Mammalia; Didelphimorphia; Didelphidae
Description: microRNA mdo-mir-12311 precursor
Source: miRBase by way of RNAcentral